This 752-nucleotide long non-coding RNA is filed under the name Homo sapiens (human). RNAcentral describes it as "non-protein coding lnc-LYPD6-11:2". The record is from RNAcentral. Lineage: Eukaryota; Metazoa; Chordata; Mammalia; Primates; Hominidae.
GAGAUCCUGCAUACCUUUUACUCAAGUUCGACCAGUGGUAACAUUUUGCAAAACUAUAAAUUCAGUAUCAUAGCCACGAUAUUGAUAUUUAUAAGCAAGAUACAUAACAUUUCUGUCACCACAGGGAUCGCUCAUGUGGCCCUUUUGCAGCCACACCUACUUCUCUCUCACCUGCAGCUCCUCCUUAACCCCUGGAAACACUAAUCUGUUCUCCAUUUCUCUAACUUUAUCAUUUCAAGAAUGUUAUAUAAAUGGUAUACAGAGAUACCAUUAGGUAAAUAUAUACUCAUCAUAAUUCUCUGAAGAUUCAUUCAGGUUGUUGUGUAAAUCAUUUGUCUGUUGCUUUUUAGUGCUGAGUAUGAUUCCAUUUAACUGUUAACUCACUGCAGGACACCAGGUUGUUCCAGUUUGGGGCUACUGUGAAUAAAGCUGUUAUACACAUUAACAUGUGAGUUUUUGUGUGAACACAGAUUUUCAUUUAUCUCAUAUUAAUGUCCAGGAGAAAAAAAUGUGGGUCAUACUGUAGUUGCAUGUUUAAUUUUUAAAGAAAUUAUGACUUUUCAGGGCAGUUGUGCCAUUUUACAUUCCCAGAAGCAAUGCAUCAGUAACUCAGUUUCUCUGUGUCCUUGCUCGCAUUUUAACUUUAUCAUUUCAAGAAUGUUAUAUAAAUGGUAUACAGAGAUACCAUUAGGUAAAUAUAUACUCAUCAUAAUUCUCUGAAGAUUCAUUCAGGUUGUUGUGUAAAUCAUUUG